AGGUACUUAUAAUUAUUCUAUGUACGAAUCAAAAAUGUUAAUUUUUAAUUCCAUUCAAAUUUGAGGUCUCAGAACAAAGGCGCUCAAAAAUGUGUGGCUUGAUAGUAUUAUUUAAAAAAAGAUGGGGGUCAUUUUAAUUUUGGGAAGACAAAAGAUUUUUUCAAUAACUAAUAUUCAGUAAAAGCAACCACAAGUCUCCAGCAGCUUCAGUUACUAAGGAUUCUUCGGGUAUAGACAUUAUUGCCUGGGAAACUCUGAAUGUGGAGAGGACUCUCUACCUGCUUGCUGCAUACGCUGGCUUAAGCAAGGCACUGACAGAUGGUUUUAUAUAAUUGACAAAUGAAUCCAAGCCAGUAAUUUCAUUUUCUUUUCUUAAGUAAACAUUUAAAAAAAUUUGUAAUCAAAUGAUAUUUAUGAAUAACAAGCACAGAUCUCCAUCACCCUAUAGUAGCUUUGAAUUUGUAGACAACACGACUGUAUGCAAUGUCACCGGGGGGAACUUGGAAUGGGAAAAGGAAUUUCCAGCCUAUUCGCUGCAUAUGCUGGCGUGUUCGAGUCUUGCAUCAGAAGUGCUGAGUGGUGCUUUCAUAGUAUUAUCAUAAGAAAACCAGACUAGUGUUUUACAUAGUCUCUGUAAUUUUGGGAGCAGGAAGUACUUGUGAAUUGAUGAGUCUUAAGGUGCACAGUGCACAUGCCAAGCAGCUUCAGUAACUUGGACAGGAUUUAUUACCUGGUUAACUUGGACUGUGGACUUAGACUCUAAAAUUUUGGGAGAAGAAAAUAUUUCUUUGUUAAGUCUUAAGGAACAGCUAGCACUGAUCUCUGUCACCUUUAGAAGCUGUGAGUUUGUUGGCAAUUUGUUGGAGUCUUGCAUCAGAGGCCUGAAUGGUGCAUCCAUUGUAUUAUCAUAAGAAAACAAGGACUGUGUUUUACAUGGUCUCUUUAAUUUUGGGAGGAGAAAAUACUUGUGAAUUGAUGAGUCUUUAGUAAUAGCAGGUGCACAUACCUCCAGCUGCUUCAGUUACUUAGACAGUAUUUAUAACCUGGUUAACUCGGACUGAGGGAAGGACUCUCCAGUCUGCUUGCUGUAUAUGCUGGCUUCGUGGAGUCCCACAGCAGGAAGCACUCAAAGGUGGUUUUAUAUAAUUGACAAGUGAAUGCAAGCCAGUAAUUUCAAUUUUCUUUUCUACAAUUAAAAUACGAUAAAAUUUGUAUUCAAAUGAUAUGCAUGGAUGGCAAGCACAGAUCUCCAUCAGCUUCAGUAGCCUUGAAUUUGUUGGCAACAUUGCAUUAAGCAAUGUCGCAUGGAGAACUCGGAGUGGAAAAAGGAAUUUCCAGCCUCCUCACUGCACACGCUGGCUUGAUCGAGUUUUGCAUUGGAGCUGCUGAAUGGUGUUUUCUAAGUAUUAUCAUAAAAAAACCAGCCCAGUGUUUUACAUAAUAAUUUUCAUUUUGGGAGCAGAAAAUAUUUGUGAAAUGAUAAGUCUGUAGAAGUAGCAUGAGAACUUGGAGCGUGAAAAGGAAUUUCCAGCCUGUUCGCUUCAUACACAGACUCGUUCAAGUCUUGCAUCAAAGACCCUGCAUGGUGCAAUUAUAGUAUUAUCUUAACAAAUCCAGACCAGUCUUUUGCGUAGUCUCUUUUAUUUGAGGAGCAGAUAAUAUUUGUGAAUUGAUAAGUCUACAGAAGUACCAUGUGAACUUGGAGGGUGAAAAGGAAUUUCCAGCCUGUUCGCUGCAUACCCUGGCCUGUUCGAUUCUUGCAUCAAAUGCCCUGAAUGGUGCAUCCAUUGUAUUAUCAUAAGAAAACAAGGACUGUGUUUUACAUGGUCUCUUUAAUUUUGGGAGGAGAAAAUACUUGUGAAUUGAUGAGUCUUUAGUAAUAGCAGGUACA
This 1891-nucleotide long non-coding RNA is filed under the name Thrips palmi. RNAcentral describes it as "uncharacterized LOC117640482". The record is from RNAcentral. Lineage: Eukaryota; Metazoa; Arthropoda; Insecta; Thysanoptera; Thripidae.